Molecule: ribosomal RNA, 169 nt
Filed under: Enterobacter kobei
Lineage: Bacteria; Pseudomonadati; Pseudomonadota; Gammaproteobacteria; Enterobacterales; Enterobacteriaceae
Description: partial 16S ribosomal RNA
Rfam family: Bacterial small subunit ribosomal RNA
Source: RNAcentral
AAAUUGAAGAGUUUGAUCAUGGCUCAGAUUGAACGCUGGCGGCAGGCCUAACACAUGCAAGUCGAACGGUAGCACAGAGAGCUUGCUCUCGGGUGACGAGUGGCGGACGGGUGAGUAAUGUCUGGGAAACUGCCUGAUGGAGGGGGAUAACUAUGGAGGGGGAUAACUA